This 734-nucleotide long non-coding RNA is filed under the name Ananas comosus (pineapple). RNAcentral's name for it is "long non-coding RNA (ACOM_LNC039382)". The record is from RNAcentral. Lineage: Eukaryota; Viridiplantae; Streptophyta; Magnoliopsida; Poales; Bromeliaceae.
CCAUUUGGUCGCAUGCAGUUGUAACCGUAUUGUAGUUAUAACUAUAUGCAAAUACAAAUUCGGUAUUUGGUUUGAUAUAUAUAUAUAACUCCAACUGCUGCAGAAGAAACUACAGGAGGAGAUUCAACUGCAAUAAUUGGAUUUACGCUCAAAUUGGCUGCAGUUGCAACUGUUAGAGAGAGUAACUUUAAACAAAAGCUAAACUUACCUCCCUAAUUACUUGUUAAACAAAAAAUAUUUUUUUUCUUAUAUUGAGGGCGCGUUUGGUUCAAGUUAUAUAAUAUUACGGAAUAUUUCGAUAUAUCUAGAUAUCUUGGAUUUCUAAAAAGAUUACAAUUUAUGCUGCAUUAGCACUUUUCAUUUAAUACAGUAAUGUAAUGCUGGAUUGCAGUACUUAUAGCAUUAAUAUAUUUGAUUCUGUCUAUAAAAUUCAGUAAUCGAGAAAAUAACAUAUUGUCUCUUCCAAAAUGGCUCGUAGUCAUAUUUCAUAAUUUUUUUUUACUGUUUACAAACAAUAAUUUUUUUACCAAAUUUUAUUUUAAAUAAUUUAAUCUUUUAAAUUUUAAAUUUUAAAUUUUAACAAAAAUAUAAAUUUAAUAUUUUAAUUUAAAAUAAAAAAUAUGAAAUUUCUAAAUUUAAAAUCUAAAAUUUAAAUAUAAAUAUAUAUAAAAUAAAAAAUUAAAAUCUAAAUUAAAAAAUCAGAAUUUAAAAUACAAAUUUGUAUUUUAAAAUUU